Heteronotia binoei (common prickly gecko) is the source of this 129-nucleotide small nuclear RNA. The record is from RefSeq and is a predicted model, not a curated record. NCBI's taxonomy places the organism in Eukaryota, Metazoa, Chordata, Lepidosauria, Squamata, Gekkonidae.
CUGCUAUAUGAAAGGAGAGAAGGUUAAUGGCGCCUCUUGAUAAGGACAGAAGAGGUCCUAGUGGCCUGCCCAAAGUGUAAAGGGUUAAGGCAUUGGCACUUACUUUGUGACAUAGAAUCAUACAGUUGG